Brienomyrus brachyistius is the source of this 1883-nucleotide long non-coding RNA. RefSeq lists it as uncharacterized. Lineage: Eukaryota; Metazoa; Chordata; Actinopteri; Osteoglossiformes; Mormyridae. The record is from RefSeq and is a predicted model, not a curated record. The transcript is spliced from 3 exons.
CCUCACACCGGCACCGCAGCGGCGCUCUUCUGGAUCCUCUUACCGGACUCUAACUAAGGUUGCACUUCGAUGGUUUUAUAACAGUUCUCACUGUAGGCCUACUGGAAACAUUUUAACCAGAGAGUUCCAGGACCCGCGCUAAACGUGCCGGAAGGCAGACGGCACAAAACGGAGAGGAUCCGGAACGCGUUCCUGCACAGGAACCGGCACAAAUUAAGCCCUGAUAUCCGAUUAUUAUGAUUCUCCUGCCUCCAGCAGAUGGAUCACCGGACCUCGAUCGCCCACCCCUCUCCAUCGCUGUCUUCCAUCAUCAGGACGUUUUUAUACACUGUUUACGGCCGCAUUUGUCAUUUGUACUUUUAUAGACACUAUUCUCCAGGAUUUCUGCUCCGUUGCCUCCUCUGAAAGGGUCAGAGAAUCGCUUUUUGGGUUCUUCCGCACGUCCGUGCUCUUUGACUCACUCAGGAGGAAUGGCUGACUGACAGGCCCCUCGCCAUCGUCUCAGCGGGCCGCCUCCAGCCAGUCCCUGCUGCCCAUUUCAGGCACUGUGUCAUUCCAGGGCCAGUUUUGUCACCCUGUCCUCAGGCCGGACCACCUCGGACAUUCCACAUUUCAUCCACUGUGAGCGUCGUCGCCUUGUUUACGGCUUCAUGUGGGGUGAGAUGCCAGCGGCCAGCCGGCUCUGAGCUGUCAGUGACGGACAGUGGGGGUGGCGGGGGUGGGGGGCUCUGGUCCGAGCCACGUGUCUGCCGUGAUGAGUUCCCGCUGGACCACCGGAUGUGCGUCUCUCUCCCGGGCCACAAGUGUAGUGUGCGGUGUCCAUUCCGCGACACUCUCUGACCGUGUCAGUCAUGCUCUUAAGGGGCUGUGGAUUAUGCCUAAUGACCAUUUCCUGCAGGCCCAGGAAGGCAAUGAUGCUCAGUGGUGUGCUUUGGGGAGGGGGGGGGGUACGUUUUUUUUUCAGUUUUUAUCAUUAGUUGAAGGACGGAGGGGUAUUAGCACUGUGAAGGCACUGCUGUUUUAUUUCUGCUACAUGGGAGAGGGGAAUCCAGAAGGACACGCGCUGCUCUACUCUACAGCAAACACACCCUGACAGGGACAGGCCGAUUUACAACUCCUGAUCCACUCCCCUAUUCAUGGCGGACAAGUUUACCAAACCAGACGCACCAGUGGAUGACGCAGUGAUUGGGGGGGGACCAGAUUUAUGACCGUGUCCCACAACAGCUCCUUGAGACUGAGGCUGAACCACCGUGGUCAAUUUGCCAGGACUGUACUUCUGCCAGCAUUAAAGUUUGUGAGCUCAGUAAGUUCAUUUGCAGUAACAAACACCUAUAGAGGGAAAACGGCGACCGUGAACGGGCUCUGAUCCACAGCUUCUGACCAUAAACGUCCUCUGACCCAAAGUCUCAGAACACGGACACACUCUGAUCCGAUGUUUCUGACUGUGCGAGCUCCCUGAACUCGUCUGACCUAAUGUCUGUGACGGCGAACGCCCCCUCUUGGUGAGCACACCCGACCCCACCAUCUGGGGGAUCCGCUGAACCGGCCCGGACCGUGCGUGUGAGCCUCUCCCCUGACCCGGUCGUCUGACAAUAAAGCGAACCUGUAACAGUCUUUUCUGUGAACUUUUAGAGAAAUAUCUUUUGUUUCUAAUUGUAGCAGUUGCAUAAUGUGCAAUAAAUUAUUUAUUAACAAACCCAUUAACGCUGCAUUACACUUAAAGAAAUGUUCCAUUCAGGAAACAACCUAGCUUUUGCUAAUAAUGCACAUUAAUCAUUAGCGGAUGUCACUUAACACAAGGUUAAUGAUGCUUUGUUAAUACUACUCCAACAUAUUCCACAUCAGAAAGCCCUUGUAAGAGUAAUUUGUAACCCUAACCUUUA